RNAcentral lists this ribosomal RNA (434 nucleotides) under Convolvulus arvensis. Its description in RNAcentral is "eukaryotic LSU rRNA". Lineage: Eukaryota; Viridiplantae; Streptophyta; Magnoliopsida; Solanales; Convolvulaceae. The record is from RNAcentral.
GUGUGAAUUGUAGAAUCCCGUGAACCAUCGAGUCUUUGAACGCAAGUUGCGCCCAAAGCCCUCAUGGCCAGAGCACGUCUGUCUAGGCAUCAUGCACCGCGUCGCCCCCACCCCCUCCGGGGAGUCGGGGUGGAGACUGGCCCCUAACGCCCCCGAGCGCGGCAGGUCUAAACACAGACCCCGCGGCCGCGAAACGGCGUGACGAUUGGUGGAGUAGUCCCUACGCAUCGCGUCGCGCCCCAAGCGGUCCCCGACGGCCAAGGGAAGACCCAUACUAACUGUUGCGACCCUAGAUCAGGCGAGACUACCCGCUGAGUUUAAGCAUAUCACUAAGCGGAUGAAAAGAAACUUACAAGGAUUCCCCUAGUAAUGGCAAGCGAACCGGGAAGAGCCCAACUUUAGAAUCGGGCGGCCCCGCCGRARGAAUUGUAGUC